CAUGGCUGCAGCUCAUAAUUACUCUAGGAGACUCGAAGGUAGCCGCAGGUCUGAGUGUUCUCUAGCCCUUGACAUUCAAAGUAGUGUGUUGAUGCCCAAUCCAUAGUUGCGUGGAAAAUUAGGACCUUGGUUUUCUCCAGAUUGACAGAAAGAGAAUCAGGGGUAUUGAGUUAUCUCACCAAUUCAUAUCUAUUUGUGCUCAGAAAUCCUUUAAAAUUAUCACCUGUCGAGGACUCUGUGCCCCUGCUUGUCUAUCUGUCAAGCUGGAGAAAACCCAGGUCCUUGUUUUCUAUGUAACUAUCGCUUGGGCACCAAAACACAACUUUGAAGCCAAAAGGAAUGCGUUCAUUCAUACCUGUGCUGGCCCGAAGUCAUCUAGAGAUCCCAUACUGCAGUAUCAAUACCAUG
Non-coding RNA from Marchantia polymorpha subsp. ruderalis, 408 nucleotides. The record is from the annotation of a GenBank genome assembly. Lineage: Eukaryota; Viridiplantae; Streptophyta; Marchantiopsida; Marchantiales; Marchantiaceae.